UACGUAGGUGGCAAGCGUUGUCCGGAAUUAUUGGGCGUAAAGCGCGCGCAGGCGGUCCUUUAAGUCUGAUGUGAAAGCCCACGGCUCAACCGUGGAGGGUCAUUGGAAACUGGGGGACUUGAGUGCAGAAGAGGAAAGCGGAAUUCCACGUGUAGCGGUGAAAUGCGUAGAGAUGUGGAGGAACACUAGUGGCGAAGGCGGCUUUCUGGUCUGUAACUGACGCUGAGGCGCGAAAGCGUGGGGAGCAAACAGG
This 253-nucleotide ribosomal RNA is filed under the name uncultured bacterium. RNAcentral describes it as "partial 16S ribosomal RNA". It matches the Rfam family "Bacterial small subunit ribosomal RNA", at positions 524 to 776 of the family's 1533-position model. The record is from RNAcentral.